GUGCCAGCAGCCGCGGUAAUACGAAGGGGGCUAGCGUUGCUCGGAAUGACUGGGCGUAAAGGGCGCGUAGGCGGCUUACAUAGUCAGGCGUGAAAUUCCUGGGCUCAACCUGGGGGCUGCGUUUGAUACGUGUAGGCUUGAGUUCGGAAGAGGGUCGUGGAAUUCCCAGUGUAGAGGUGAAAUUCGUAGAUAUUGGGAAGAACACCGGUGGCGAAGGCGGCGACCUGGUCCGAAACUGACGCUGAGGCGCGAAAGCGUGGGGAGCAAACAGGAUUAGAUACCCUCGUAGUCC
This 292-nucleotide ribosomal RNA is filed under the name uncultured bacterium. Its description in RNAcentral is "partial 16S ribosomal RNA". It matches the Rfam family "Bacterial small subunit ribosomal RNA", at positions 505 to 796 of the family's 1533-position model. The record is from RNAcentral.